Molecule: non-coding RNA, 187 nt
Filed under: Phycisphaerales bacterium
Lineage: Bacteria; Pseudomonadati; Planctomycetota; Phycisphaerae; Phycisphaerales
Description: 6S RNA
Rfam family: 6S / SsrS RNA
About the family: E. coli 6S RNA was the first non coding RNA to be sequenced, but its function was unknown until recently. It consists of 184 nucleotides that fold into an extended hairpin structure with a large single-stranded internal bulge.
Source: RNAcentral
UAACCCCUGCGGUGUUUGUACGGUAAAGUAAUGGUUUGAAGGAACCGAUGCCCGUUCUGAGGGAAGUCAGGUCUCCUUGAUCCGGACACGCCUGCUUUGACAGGACUUUCGGACUGAAGCAACGACUGCCCACCUUACAGUAAUGGGUUCUCUUCAAACACUUUCCUACGGCACUCGCGGAGGCGCC